RNAcentral lists this long non-coding RNA (271 nucleotides) under Ananas comosus (pineapple). RNAcentral's name for it is "long non-coding RNA (ACOM_LNC033850)". The record is from RNAcentral. Lineage: Eukaryota; Viridiplantae; Streptophyta; Magnoliopsida; Poales; Bromeliaceae.
UACGCUAUGAAAUUAAAACAAUCUCUCACGCUAUCUAUUUAUUUUCAACAAUAAAAUCUCCGAAUUGACAACUGGUCUCGUUGAAUAUGAUCUAUAUCAUUUAAAGUAUCUAUAAAUCGAAUUUUAUGACUUUUCGAUAUGGUUUAUUUUGUACAUCAAGUGGAUACAAAAUAAGUAGCUAAAAAUAAAUAUUCUUUAAAAGAAGAUGAUAGAAUUUUCAUAUUAUGUUGCAGUGUAUGAUAAAAAUCAUGUCAUAAAUACUUUUCAGACC